Dreissena polymorpha is the source of this 734-nucleotide long non-coding RNA. RefSeq lists it as uncharacterized. The record is from RefSeq and is a predicted model, not a curated record. The transcript is spliced from 3 exons. NCBI's taxonomy places the organism in Eukaryota, Metazoa, Mollusca, Bivalvia, Myida, Dreissenidae.
UGCUAUCUAAGCGAAAACCAUGUUUACAUGCAUAGUUUUGAUUUUUAUUGGAUAUAUUCAUGUUGGAGGUUCACAAAAUCCAGAAUUAAUUUCAAAUGCAACAUUCGUAGAAGAUAAUGAUGCAUUAAAGUUGAUGUGCACUCAUUCCACGUCGACUAUUGUGAAGUGGUGGCUCAAACCAGUGAGAAGUAAUAACUUUGAUAAUGUUCUCUCAGCCUCAUCUUCAUCCAGCACGUGAUUGUUUGACCGUACUCCUUUACCUGACGUGUUUGCUGGUAGUAACUGUGCAGGGUCAACGUUUACCUGUACCCUUAAAUCAUUAUCACGGAACAACGAUGGAGACAAAUGGAAGUGCUCUAUUAUUCAAACAAAUGUUGAUGUCUUCAGUCAGGAAAUAACAAUUGCUUUGGCAGUGCCUGUGAUCAGCGUAACGUUGACUCCAGACCUACCAGCAAUUUCUGUGUUACCAAACGCACCAAUCAGCUUCAUCAAAUGUGAAUCUUCAGAGGGUCGUCCUUCCCCUAUCAUUACUUGGUAUAUAGACAAAGACACUCCCAUUUACAACGACGAUGUAAAUAUCACUGAACGAAGCAUUAGUAUUGUAGCAGGAGACCGGACGACAAGCACUCUGACAAUUAUUCCUUCACUGGAACAUCACGGGGCAAUCAUUUACUGCAACGUCACCAAUGGAUACGGGCCGAUCAUAUCCGACAGGAAACUCCGUCUUUACGUUU